This 282-nucleotide ribosomal RNA is filed under the name uncultured bacterium. RNAcentral's name for it is "partial 16S ribosomal RNA". It matches the Rfam family "Bacterial small subunit ribosomal RNA", at positions 28 to 301 of the family's 1533-position model. The record is from RNAcentral.
GACGAACGCUGGCGGCGCGCUUAACACAUGCAAGUCGAGCGAGAACCAGGGCUUCGGCCCUGGGGAAAGCGGCGAACGGGUGAGUAACACGUGAGUAACCUGUCCUCGGCACCGGGAUAGCCCGGGGAAACCCGGAUUAAUACCGGAUGGCCUUUCGAGUCUUCGGGCUCGUCAGAAAAGGGAAGCUUCGGCCGUCCGGCCGAGGAGGGACUCGCGGCGGAUUAGCUUGUUGGUGGGGUAACGGCUCACCAAGGCGACGANCCGUAGCUGGUCUGAGAGGAC